GACGAACGCUGGCGGCGUGCCUAAUACAUGCAAGUCGAACGCAGUGGGGACGGGUGAUUAACACGUGGGUAACCUCCCAUCAGAGGGGAUAACACUUGGAAACAGGUGCUAAACCGAUACUGAUGGAUGGACCCGCGGUCCAUUAGCUAGUUGGUGAGGUAACGGCGCACCAAGGCCACGAUGCAUAGCCGACCGAGGAGGGUGAUGGGCAAAACGGGGACUGAGACACGGCCCAGACGCCAACGGGAGGCAGCAGGAGGGAAUCUUCGGCAAUGGACGAAAGUCUGACCGAGAAACGCGGCGUGAGUGAAGAGGGUUUUCGGAUCGUAAAACUCUGUUGUUAGAGAAGCGGUAUCUAACCAGAAAGCCACGGCUAACUACGUGCCAGCAGCCGCGGUAAUAC
Molecule: ribosomal RNA, 403 nt
Filed under: uncultured bacterium
Lineage: Bacteria
Description: partial 16S ribosomal RNA
Rfam family: Bacterial small subunit ribosomal RNA
Source: RNAcentral